RNAcentral lists this transfer RNA (88 nucleotides) under Galeola lindleyana. Its description in RNAcentral is "tRNA-Leu". The record is from RNAcentral. Lineage: Eukaryota; Viridiplantae; Streptophyta; Magnoliopsida; Asparagales; Orchidaceae.
GCCGCCAUGGUGAAAUUUGUAUAAACGUAUAAACGCUGCUCUUAGGAAGCAGUGCUAGAGCCUCUCGGUUCGAAUCUUAGUGGCGGCA